GAAAUGCGAUACGUAAUGUGAAUUGCAGAAUUCAGUGAAUCAUCGAGUCUUUGAACGCACAUUGCGCCCCCUGGUAUUCCGGGGGGCAUGCCUGUCCGAGCGUCAUUGCUGCCCUCAAGCACGGCUUGUGUGUUGGGCCCCCGUCCCCCCCCCCCUAAAAAAGAGGGGGACGGGCCCGAAAGGCAGCGGCGGCACCGUGUCCGGUCCUCGAGCGUAUGGGAAGCAACUCUUUUUGUCACCCGCUCCUGUAGGUCCGGCCGGCGGCCUGCCCAACCCUCAAUCAAUCUUUUUUAACCAGGUUGACCUCGGAUCAGGUAGGGAUACCCGCUGAACUUAA
This 337-nucleotide unclassified non-coding RNA is filed under the name uncultured Ascomycota. Its description in RNAcentral is "sequence contains ITS1". The stretch from base 1 to 105 matches the Rfam family "5.8S ribosomal RNA", at positions 50 to 154 of the family's 154-position model. Lineage: Eukaryota; Fungi; Ascomycota. The record is from RNAcentral.